Molecule: ribosomal RNA, 487 nt
Filed under: uncultured bacterium
Lineage: Bacteria
Description: bacterial SSU rRNA
Rfam family: Bacterial small subunit ribosomal RNA
Source: RNAcentral
AAAUGAAUAGACGGGGGCCCGCACAAGCAGUGGAGUAUGUGGUUUAAUUCGAAGCAACGCGAAGAACCUUACCAGGUCUUGACAUCGUGCGCAUAACUCAGAGAUGAGUGAAGUCCUUCGGGACGCAUAGACAGGUGGUGCAUGGUUGUCGUCAGCUCGUGUCGUGAGAUGUUGGGUUAAGUCCCGCAACGAGCGCAACCCUUAUGCUUAGUUACUACGCAAGAGGACUCUAGGCAGACUGCCGUUGACAAAACGGAGGAAGGUGGGGAUGACGUCAAAUCAUCAUGCCCCUUAUGACCUGGGCUACACACGUACUACAAUGGCUGUUAACAAAGUGAACCGAAACCGCGAGGUGGAGGAAACCACAAAAAACAGUCUCAGUUCGGAUUGUAGGCUGCAACUCGCCUACAUGAAGCCGGAAUUGCUAGUAAUCGCGGAUCAGCAUGCCGCGGUGAAUACGUUCCCGGGCCUUGUACACACCGCCCGU